Molecule: long non-coding RNA, 1319 nt
Organism: Canis lupus familiaris (dog)
Lineage: Eukaryota; Metazoa; Chordata; Mammalia; Carnivora; Canidae
Exons: 4
Source: RefSeq, a predicted model, not a curated record
CAGACUGCUGGUGAGCUUUAGCUACCAAGAGGUCCUCUGCAUCAUGGGUAGAGGUGAUGUCUCUCUGUUCCAAGUUUCAUCAUAAAUGGUUGUGCUUUCCAACAAUGGGGCUGAAGCAGGAGCCAGCAGCAGCAGAACUGGGAGCUUGGACAAGCUGGAAUGGAAGGGAUGUCCAUCUCUAACAUUCUCCUAAAUCCUUUUCUAUGGAAUCCUCAUUUUCCUUUCUGUUCCGCAAGUAUCCAUCUGAAAUCAAGGUGCUCAGGGCCUGUAAGGCUCUGCCAAUGGCUUUUUGGAGUAAGCUCACUUCACUUGAGAGGUGCUAGAGGCUCAUAGGACCAGUGAGUCCUGAAGCCUUACGUUAAAAGAUGAUUAUAUACUAGAUUAUAAAGAGAUAGAGCAAUCCAACAGUUUCCAGGGUUGCAAAGUCUGUGGUUUAGCACUCUUCCCAGGUAGCUCCAGUGCCCACCAGCUGUGUUUUAUAUAGCAUGUAUUUUAUCUAACAGCUGUGUUUCAUGUUUCCAUGCUGCCAAUGGAUUUGGCAGCAGGCACUCUAUACAAAGCCAUCAUUGUACAAGUGGGUAUGUACAGUUUUGUCUCCAAGGUCUUUGGAAAAAGGCUCUCAAACUACUGGGACCGUUGCCUCAUAGUAUUCCUAUGUCUUCGACCCAGGAAGGGCAUAGGACCCAAGGUGAACCAAUAGUAGGAAUCCAUUCUUUUGUUCACAAAGAUUGGUCCAGGGGUGGUCACGUGACACAUGCUAGAUGACUUGGAACUCUGGGGCAGGACAUUUCAUCCUGAAGCCAAUGGAAAAGCAUCCUUUUCUCGCUGAUUGCUCCAAGAAAGAUGCCAAAUUGAUGGUCUCCUGUGCUCCAGCAGAUGUCAGUGUGGCCUUACUGGAGAACCUAGGGAAACCAGGAUGUACCCGAUUGCCUCCAGAAAUGAAUGAACAGGACGUUGUGUUUCACAGGUCAUCUAAGAAAGGAGGCAGGAAAGAGAGCUUUGCUGCAAGUUAUGACUCUCAGUGCCAUUGACCAAAUAGACAUUUAUUUGACAAAAAUUAAGAAGUCACAGAAUAUCAAGUGUUGGAGAAGCUAUUCACAACAUAUACCACUUUCAUAUUUUGGAAGGGAGUAUACAGUGAUUCACCGCUUUGGAAACUAGUUAGAUGUGAACUUGUAAGGCAAAAGAGCUUCAGAAAACAUCCAUCAUUAAGUAGUGUUACAAACGGCACUUUUGGCUACAUUAGAGAAUUAGAUAUGAGUCCCAUGUGUUUUCUCUGAUAGGUGAGUAGUAGAGCAACUUUAUAAUGCAACCCUUUC